CUCGUAGGCGGCUAACUAAGUCGGACGUGAAAUCCCUCGGCUUAACCGGGGAACUGCGUCCGAUACUGGAUAGCUUGAGUGUGGGAGAGGGAUGCGGAAUUCCAGGUGUAGCGGUGAAAUGCGUAGAUAUCUGGAGGAACACCGGUGGCGAAGGCGGCAUCCUGGACCACGACUGACGCUGAGUGAGCGAAAGCCAGGGGAGCAAACGGGAUUAGAUACCCCGGUAGUCCUGGCCCUAAACCAUGAAUGCUUGGUGUGGCGGGUAUCGAUCCCUGCCGUGCCGAAGCUAACGCAUUAAGCAUUCCGCCUGGGGAGUACGGUCGCAAGGCUGAA
Molecule: ribosomal RNA, 333 nt
Filed under: uncultured bacterium
Lineage: Bacteria
Description: bacterial SSU rRNA
Rfam family: Bacterial small subunit ribosomal RNA
Source: RNAcentral